RNAcentral lists this ribosomal RNA (842 nucleotides) under uncultured Chloroflexota bacterium. RNAcentral describes it as "bacterial SSU rRNA". It matches the Rfam family "Bacterial small subunit ribosomal RNA", at positions 528 to 1380 of the family's 1533-position model. The record is from RNAcentral. Lineage: Bacteria; Bacillati; Chloroflexota.
UAGGAGGCGAGCGUUAUCCGGAAUUACUGGGCGUAAAGGGUGAGCAGGCGGUGAAGUAAGUCGAGCGUGAAAGCUCCCGGCUCAACCGGGAGAGUGCGUUGGAAACUGCUUGACUAGAGGGAGGCAGAGGCAGACGGAAUUCCGGGUGGAGUGGUGAAAUGCGUAGAGAUCCGGAGGAACACCAGUGGCGAAGGCGGUCUGCUGGGCCUUACCUGACGCUCAGACACGAAAGCAUGGGGAGCGAACGGGAUUAGAAACCCCGGUAGUCCAUGCCGUAAACGAUGCACACUCAGCGUGGGGAUCGUAAAGAUCACUGUGCUAAAGCCAACGCGGUAAGUGUGCCGCCUGGGGGAGUACGGUCGCAAGGCUAAAACUCAAAGGAAUUGACGGGGGCCCGCACAAGCAGCGGAGCUUGGUGUGGUUUAAUUCGAGGCUACGCGAAGAACCUUACCUAGACUUGACAUGGCAGUGGUAGAGACCUGAAAAGGGAUCGACCUUCGGGAGCUGUCACAGGUGCUGCAUGGCUGUCGUCAGCUCGUGCCGUGAGGUGUUCGGUUAAGUCCGAAAACGAGCGCAACCCCUAGUGUUAGUUACAAGUGUCUAACGCGACUGCCCGGGGGAACCGGGAGGAAGGUGGGGAUGACGUCAAGUCAGCAUGGCCUUUAUGUUUAGGGCUACACACACGCUACAAUGGGCAGUACAACGGGCAGCGAAGCGGCGACGCGGAGCGAAUCCAGUAAAGCUGUUCCCAGUUCGGAUUGCAGGCUGCAACUCGCCUGCAUGAAGUUGGAGUUGCUAGUAACCGUGGGUCARMUACACCGCGGUGAAUACGUUCCCGGGCU